UGUCCAACGUUAAUCGGGGCAGGGUGAGUCGACCCCUAAGGCGAGGCCGAAAGGCGUAGUCGAUGGGAAACAGGUUAAUAUUCCUGUACUUGGUGUUACUGCGAAGGGGGGACGGAGAAGGCUAUGUCAGCCGGGCGACGGUUGUCCCGGUUUAAGCAUGUAGGCGGAGGUUCCAGGUAAAUCCGGUACCUUAUUAACGCUGAGGUGUGAUGACGAGGCACUACGGUGCUGAAGUGAUAAAUGCCCUGCUUCCAGGAAAAGCCUCUAAGCAUCAGGUAACACGAAAUCGUACCCCAAACCGACACAGGUGGUCAGGUAGAGAAUACCAAGGCGCUUGAGAGAACUCGGGUGAAGGAACUAGGCAAAAUGGUGCCGUAACUUCGGGAGAAGGCACGCUGAUGUGUAGGUGAAGUCCCUGCGGACGGAGCUGAAAUCAGUCGAAGAUACCAGCUGGCUGCAACUGUUUAUUAAAAACACAGCACUGUGCAAACACGAAAGUGGACGUAUACGGUGUGACGCCUGCCCGGUGCCGGAAGGUUAAUUGAUGGGG
This 550-nucleotide ribosomal RNA is filed under the name Escherichia coli. RNAcentral describes it as "partial 23S ribosomal RNA". It matches the Rfam family "Bacterial large subunit ribosomal RNA", at positions 1356 to 1889 of the family's 2925-position model. Lineage: Bacteria; Pseudomonadati; Pseudomonadota; Gammaproteobacteria; Enterobacterales; Enterobacteriaceae. The record is from RNAcentral.